This 72-nucleotide transfer RNA is filed under the name Penaeus japonicus. RNAcentral describes it as "tRNA-Pro". It matches the Rfam family "tRNA". Rfam says of the family: Transfer RNA (tRNA) molecules are approximately 80 nucleotides in length. Lineage: Eukaryota; Metazoa; Arthropoda; Malacostraca; Decapoda; Penaeidae. The record is from RNAcentral.
GGCCUGAUGGUCUAGGGGUAUGAUUCUCGCUUAGGGUGCGAGAGGUCCCGGGUUCAAAUCCUGGUCAGCCCA